Long non-coding RNA from Dermacentor silvarum, 237 nucleotides. RefSeq lists it as uncharacterized. The record is from RefSeq and is a predicted model, not a curated record. Lineage: Eukaryota; Metazoa; Arthropoda; Arachnida; Ixodida; Ixodidae. The transcript is spliced from 3 exons.
CACACGAACAAGCGGACAAGUGUUAUACGGGAGAGCAACAAGGGGCGGUUGCGAAUUUUUUCCGCGUGCGGUUUGCGGUUGUUGACUCUUUGGAAGAACGCUUGUCAUGUCCAAGCCGGUUCUCCUGUGCAGCUUUCUCGGCUCCCGCUCAUGUCGCGUUCGCAUCGUCUUACAAGUGAAGAAGAUUGACUUCGAAUAUCGUCCAGUGGAGUUGAAACCGAAUGGCGAGCAGGUAAC